RNAcentral lists this long non-coding RNA (1656 nucleotides) under Homo sapiens (human). RNAcentral's name for it is "HSALNT0196090". Lineage: Eukaryota; Metazoa; Chordata; Mammalia; Primates; Hominidae. The record is from RNAcentral.
GGCAAAAGCAAAACUGUUUCAAAAACAAACAAACAAAAAAACCGGCUGGGUGUGGUGAUACAUGCCUGUAGUCCCAGGUAAUCAGGAGACUGAGGCGGGAGGAUCACUUGAAUCCAGGAGUUGGACAUGGCAGUGAGCUGUGAUUGUGUCACUGCCCUCCAGCAGCCUGGGUGACAGAGAGAGACCCUGUCUCAAUAUAUUAGGUUGGCGCAAAAGUAAUUGCAGUUUUUGCCACUGAAAGUAAUGCCAUUGGAGGUAAUGGCAAAAACAGCAAUUACUUUUGCGCCAAUCUAAUAGAUAUGUAGAUAAUAUGAUCGAUGGUGAUCAGUGAUAACAGUGAAAAAGAAACAGAACAGGGAACAAGGGGCCGGGCUCAGUGGUUCACGCCUGUAAUCCCAGCACUUUGGGAGGCCGAGGUGGACGGAUCACUUGAGGCCAGGAGUUCGAGAACAGCCUGGCCAACAUGGUAAAACCCCACUUCUACUAAAAAUACAAAAAAAUUUAGCCAGGCAUGGUGGUGUGCGUCUGUGGUGCCAGCUACCCGGGAGGCUGAGGUGGGAGGAUCCCUUGAACACAGGAGGCAGAGGCUGCAGUGAGCUGAGAUCGCGCCAUUGCACGCCAGCCUGGGUGACAGAGUGAGACCCUGUCUCCAAAAAACAAACAAACAAAAACAAAAAAAGAAAAGAAAAAGGAACAAGGAAAAUAAGAUGGUAAAUGUGGUCUCCAAGGUCUUGUUUCAUCUUCCUAUGUCCAUUAUUUUUCCCAUUAUGCAAGUGAGGAGGAGGUUCAGAGAGGUGGAGUAACUCGUCCAGGGACUCACAGUGCGCAAGCUGAGACGUCAGUGUCCUGGAAGGACCCAUCCUGCAAUCGUUCUUGGCUGUGUUCCUACCCAGUGCCUAGGAUGGAGGUGAAGACAAAAAGAGCAUCAGGCUUUCUCUCAAGAGCUUGAGACCUGGCAAGCGGGUAGGUCAAUCCCUGUGAGCAGAGGACUCCCUAAAGCCCUUGCGAUGCAUCCAUGAGGUGCCCAGAGCAGACAUUGAGGAAUCACCUUGGGAGAAGCGGAUGCAGAGGCUGGAGUCGAAGCUCAGGCUGAUGAAUCGAUUCCAGAGAUCAGGAGCAGAAGGCAAAGUCCCCGUAGGAUCUUCUGGGACUAUUGGUGGCUCCCAGGCCCACCAGUCCUGGCUCUACUCCCCUUCAGCCCUCUUAUCUCCAGCCUUUAGGCCUUCAGGCUGGGGAUGAGAGCCAACGUCUUCAUUUCAGAACAUCUCAGCCGCAUCAGGGGGAUCGUCACACUCUCUGCCAUGAAUAGGUGACGCGGGAUGAAGAGGAGAGUUUCCUAUCAAGGCUGCUGUGUUUUGUUUUUGUUUUGUAGAUAUGGGGUUUCACCAUGUUGCCCAGGCUGGUCUCUAACUCCUGGGCUCAAGGGAUCCACCCGCUUUGACCUCCCAAAUUGUUGGGAUUACAGGUAUGAGCCACAGUGCCUGCCUAAGGUUGCUUUCUGUGUGAAUCAAGGAGGCAUUCAAUAAAUAGUUGUGGGAUUAAUGAAUGUCAUUUCAAGGAGGGUUAAAAGCCAUGGACACCAUCUGUAAAGGGUAUUAUAAUUUGGUUAUCCAGGAAAACAGAAAAUUUCAGCAGUUAUUUGAGAUUUCCAGAAGG